GGUUCCAGUUGGCAACGGAGGAGGCUGGAGAAGCAUGAGGUUGCUGUGGUGGACGUCUCUAGUUGGUGUAGAUACAUGUUUAAGUAUUCAUCAAGCCCCUACUGGUGAUGGAUUUUCCUAAGGUGCUGUUGAACAAGGAUAUAUCCGACUCACCAUUAACUGGUACUGAUCACUUGAAGUUUCCCAGUUUAUAUUCAUGGUACCAGGGAGGUUAUGCCCCGCAGAGGCCGGAAUAUCUGCCGUUGGAGGUUAG
Long non-coding RNA from Lolium rigidum, 253 nucleotides. RefSeq lists it as uncharacterized. The transcript is spliced from 3 exons. NCBI's taxonomy places the organism in Eukaryota, Viridiplantae, Streptophyta, Magnoliopsida, Poales, Poaceae. The record is from RefSeq and is a predicted model, not a curated record.